UGGAGGGUAUUUGAGUUUCAAGAGAAAGCAAACUCCCCACAGGAUAUCAUGUGUCAACACAUUACACCAGUGAAACAAGCAGGAAAUAAUUAUGCAUUAUCAGAAUUUGUGAUAACGAACUCUCAUUGCUGAUCGUGCUUUGAGGUCUGACACUUUCUAACAGCUUAAUGAAAGCUGCCUUUUUCUAAUGAAUUCUUUAAUGAAUGCCAAAGAGACUUAACUACAGACUGCAUUUAAGAAGCUAGCAUUUUCACAGCUACACAGGUAGAUGAAUCUGAUAGCAGAGAGCUUUGUAUUCAGCUAUUUCCUUUCUGCAAAAUUAGGUUUUUUUAAAUGUACUCAUGCUGCAAAUACUUAUGCUGCUCCCACCACAGGAUUUUCAAAACAUCAAAAGCAGAUUAAGGAAAACAAGGAAAUAAAAAAACAUAAAACCUUCAUGAGAGAGCAUAGUGAUUUCCUUUGUAACUUUCUGCAUGUGACAUGAAACACAAAAUGGCAGAUGCCUCAAAGACUGUCCUGCAGCAGGCAUGGAGACUCCAUUACAUUUAAAGCCACAGUACACAGGAACAAGAAAGGAGAUUGGCCUUCUGUGCUGUGUGUCUGGUCUCUUGCUCAGACUGUACCAGUCUUUAUCAAUUCUUUGCUACAGACUCAGUUUUCAACUUUUAGGGCCAUACAAGGCCCUUCUUUCCUUGCACAAGUGGUAUGUUGAUGCUGAUGGAAAUUGUUC
Dermochelys coriacea (leatherback sea turtle) is the source of this 730-nucleotide long non-coding RNA. RefSeq lists it as uncharacterized. The transcript has 3 exons. Lineage: Eukaryota; Metazoa; Chordata; Testudines; Dermochelyidae. The record is from RefSeq and is a predicted model, not a curated record.